Molecule: ribosomal RNA, 301 nt
Filed under: uncultured bacterium
Lineage: Bacteria
Description: partial 16S ribosomal RNA
Rfam family: Bacterial small subunit ribosomal RNA
Source: RNAcentral
CAGUCGCCACGGGAAUACGGAGGGGGCUAGCGUUGUUCGGAAUUACUGGGCGUAAAGCGCACGUAGGCGGCUUGGUAAGUUAGAGGUGAAAGCCUGGAGCUCAACUCCAGAAUUGCCUUUAAGACUGCCGAGCUAGCAGGUGAGAGAGGUAGGUGGAAUUCCGAGUGUAGAGGUGAAAUUCGUAGAUAUUCGGAAGAACACCAGUGGCGAAGGCGGCUUACUGGCUCAUACUGGACGCUGAGGUGCGAAAGCGUGGGGAGCAAACAGGAUUAGAUACCCCCGUAGUCCCUGUCUCUUAUAC